This 303-nucleotide unclassified non-coding RNA is filed under the name Melitaea cinxia (Glanville fritillary). RNAcentral's name for it is "misc RNA ENSMCXG00005010141.1". Lineage: Eukaryota; Metazoa; Arthropoda; Insecta; Lepidoptera; Nymphalidae. The record is from RNAcentral.
UAAUGUAUCUUUAGAAAUCAAUUCCCUUUUGGGGUUAAAACGGGGAUGGUAGGUUGACUCACUCAUCACGAAAUCUCCGAAACUAUAACAGCUACAAACUUGAAAUUUGGUCAGUCGGUUUCUUAUAGGGUGUAAACAUCCGAUGAGAACGAAUUUUACGAAAUUCGACCCUUAAGGGGAUAAAACGGGGGUUGGAAGUUUGUAUGAAAGUCCUAUGUUUUUGAAGUAAGAGACUUGAAAUUUAAAAUGUAUGCUUUAUAGAUAGUGAGAAGGUGUCGAAAUAAUGUAUCUUUAGAAAUCAAC